AUUGGCCCUCAAGAUGCGUAUGUGGUUUCUAUUUUUCUUCUUCUUGAUAGCUUCAGCGUCAGCCCUGUCUGGCCUCGGAGGUUUUUGCAAAUCGAAUAGUGGUUGUGAAACAAACACGUGCAACGACAUUGGAGUGUGUAAUGAUUAUGAUGGUUACAUAAAGAAAGACAAAAAAAGCUCAACUUCCAUGCUGACUGACAAAGCUGUCUACACCCCAAAAGUGUGAAUAAACUAGAGAAAAGUUUGAGAAAUAAACAAGUCCCAACAAAAGUA
Molecule: long non-coding RNA, 273 nt
Organism: Macrosteles quadrilineatus (aster leafhopper)
Lineage: Eukaryota; Metazoa; Arthropoda; Insecta; Hemiptera; Cicadellidae
Exons: 2
Source: RefSeq, a predicted model, not a curated record